CGAUUCCUCCUCGAUCACAACCACAACGUGGGCAGGAGCGGACGGGGCGGAGCCGCGGGGGCCGGGAGACGGGUGCUAGUAUAUAAACUUGUAAUUGGCUCUGGCUCCCGGCUCCGGGCACUGGGCGAUGUUUCCAACCAGAUGGAUUGUGAGGCCCGGCAGCUCCCUAGUCCCUUUUCUUCCCCCUCCUCCCAGCGUCCCCUCGCUGCCCAAGCCCCACCCUUCGGCCUUCGCAAGUCUACCAAAAUUUCUCUUUCCAGUCCUCCCCUGCAUGACGGAUGGCACCCAGAAGGCACUAUUAUUUGAAAAUGCUGGUUGGAUUCCAAAGCUACAAUCCUGGUUUUAAAGUCUGAUCAGGCAUCCUGAGAUU
This 370-nucleotide long non-coding RNA is filed under the name Equus caballus (horse). Its description in RNAcentral is "lncRNA (ENSECAG00000028794.2)". The record is from RNAcentral. Lineage: Eukaryota; Metazoa; Chordata; Mammalia; Perissodactyla; Equidae.